CAGUAGCCGCGGGAAUACGAAGGGUGCAAGCGUUACUCGGAAUUACUGGGCGUAAAGCGUGCGUAGGUGGUGGUUUAAGUCCGUUGUGAAAGCCCUGGGCUCAACCUGGGAAUUGCAGUGGAUACUGGGUCACUAGAGUGUGGUAGAGGAUAGUGGAAUUUCCGGUGUAGCAGUGAAAUGCGUAGAGAUCGGAAGGAACAUCUGUGGCGAAGGCGACUAUCUGGGCCAACACUGACACUGAGGCACGAAAGCGUGGGGAGCAAGCAGGAUUAGAUACCCGAGUAGUCCCUGUCUCUUAUAA
Molecule: ribosomal RNA, 301 nt
Filed under: uncultured bacterium
Lineage: Bacteria
Description: partial 16S ribosomal RNA
Rfam family: Bacterial small subunit ribosomal RNA
Source: RNAcentral